Molecule: small nucleolar RNA, 217 nt
Organism: Trichechus manatus latirostris (Florida manatee)
Lineage: Eukaryota; Metazoa; Chordata; Mammalia; Sirenia; Trichechidae
Product: small nucleolar RNA U3
Exons: 1
Source: RefSeq, a predicted model, not a curated record
AGGACUAUACUUUCAGGGAUCAUUUUUAUAGUGUGUUACUAGAGAAGUUUCUCUGAUUGUGUAGAGCACCGAAAACCACGAGGAGGAGUUACAGUGUUUUCUUCUGAGCGUGAAAUUAGCUUUUGGUGUUGCUUUCUGCAAUUGCCGUUUGCUAUUGAUGAUCGUUCUACUUUUCCAGUUGGGGAAAGUUAGAGGAAGAAAAUGCAGUCUGAGUGGU